AGUACCAGGCUAGCUGGAAAGCUAAAUUCCCGUGGAUUCUCUAUGAUGCAGCAAGAAACAAAGUGCUCUGUGAAGUAUGUUCGGCUGCUGACAAAAUGCAUGCCCCAUGUACAGUACACGUUCCUCCGGUGGUAGACAGCAGCCAGUGCAUCUGGAUUAAGAUGUUACAUAUGUGUAACCACCGACCCUAAAUCCUGCACAGAGACCAUAAGUUGUCCUGCUGGCUUUGAUCAGUGUGCCACCGUGACCGACAGUGGUUUAACCACCAAGACCUGCUUCCCCAGAGCUGCAUGUAUAGGCUCC
This is a long non-coding RNA of Scomber scombrus (Atlantic mackerel), 303 nucleotides long. RefSeq lists it as uncharacterized. The transcript has 3 exons. The record is from RefSeq and is a predicted model, not a curated record. NCBI's taxonomy places the organism in Eukaryota, Metazoa, Chordata, Actinopteri, Scombriformes, Scombridae.